Molecule: ribosomal RNA, 450 nt
Filed under: uncultured crenarchaeote
Lineage: Archaea; Thermoproteati; Thermoproteota
Description: bacterial SSU rRNA
Rfam family: Archaeal small subunit ribosomal RNA
Source: RNAcentral
UGGUGUCAGCCGCCGCGGUAAUACCAGCUCCCCGAGUGGUCGGGACGAUUAUUGGGCCUAAAGCAUCCGUAGCCGGUUCUGUAGGUCUUAUGUUAAAAUCAAUUGCUUAACAAUUGAACUGCAUGAGAUACCACAAAACUAGGAGGCGGGAGAGGUGGACGGUACUCCGCGGGUAGGGGUAAAAUCCUCUGAACCGUGGAAGACCACCAGUGGCGAAGGCGGUCCACCAGAACGCGCUCGACGGUGAGGGAUGAAAGCUGGGGUAGCGAACCGGAUUAGAUACCCGGGUAGUCCCAGCUGUAAACGAUGCAAGCUAGGUGAUGCAUUAGCCACGUGUUAAUGCAGUGCCGCAGGGAAGCCGUUAAGCUUGCCGCCUGGGGAGUACGGUCGCAAGGCUGAAACUUAAAGGAAUUGGCGGGGGAGCACCACAAGGGGUGAAGCCUGCGGUUC